GUGGGAAUCUGCCUUUUGGUCUGGAAUAACACGAGGAAACUUGUGCUAAUACCGGAUAAGCCUUUACAGGGAAAGUUUUAAUGCCAAAAGAUGAGCCCGCACUUGAUUAGCUAGUUGGUAAGGUAAUGGCUUACCAAGGCAACGAUCAAUAGCUGUUCUUAGAGGAAGACCAGCCACAUUGGGACUGAGACACGGCCCAAACUCCUACGGGAGGCAGCAGUGGGGAAUCUUGCACAAUGGGGGAAACCCUGAUGCAGCGAUGCCGCGUGAGUGAAGAAGGCCUUUGGGUUGUAAAACUCUUUCGUCGGGGAAGAAAAUGACUGUACCCGAAUAAG
This 335-nucleotide ribosomal RNA is filed under the name uncultured bacterium. Its description in RNAcentral is "bacterial SSU rRNA". It matches the Rfam family "Bacterial small subunit ribosomal RNA", at positions 117 to 487 of the family's 1533-position model. The record is from RNAcentral.